RNAcentral lists this ribosomal RNA (465 nucleotides) under uncultured bacterium. RNAcentral describes it as "partial 16S ribosomal RNA". It matches the Rfam family "Bacterial small subunit ribosomal RNA", at positions 338 to 795 of the family's 1533-position model. The record is from RNAcentral.
CCUACGGGAGGCUGCAGUAGGGAAUCUUCCACAAUGGGCGCAAGCCUGAUGGAGCAACAUCGCGUGAGUGAAGAAGGGUCUCUGCUUGUAAAGCUCUGUUGUUGGAGAAGAACGUGCGUGCGAGUAACUGUUCACGCAGUGACGGUAUCCAUCCAGACAGUCACGGCUAACUACGUGCCAGCAGCCGCGGUAAUACGUAGGUGGCACGCGUUAUCCGGAUUUAUUGGGCGUAAAGCGAGCGCAGGCGGUUGCUUAGGUCUGAUGUGAAAGCCUUCGGCUUAACCGAAGAAGUGCAUCGGAAACCGGGGAACUGGAGUGCAGAAGAGGACAGUGGAACUCCAUGUGUAGCGGUGGAAUGCGUAGAUAUAUGGAAGAACACCAGUGGCGAAGGCGGCUGACUGGUCUGCAACUGACGCUGAGGCUCGAAAGCAUGGGUAGCGAACAGGAUUAGAUACCCGUGUAGUC